UGAAUACGAGAUGCUACGGCGUCGAAGCAGUGUAUGUCAGACUUCCAAGAAAAGCUCGCAAUGUCAUAAAUAAAGAAUGCCUGUACCAUAACCGACACAGGUGGGUAGGUAGAGUAUACUAAGGGGCGCGAGAUAACUCUCUCUAAGGAACUCGGCAAAAUAACUCCGUAACUUCGGGAGAAGGAGUGCCUUCUUUAAGAAGGUUGCAAUAACAAGAUCCAAGCAACUGUUUAUCAAAAACACAGGUCUCCGCUAAGUCGUAAGACGAUGUAUGGGGGCUGACGCCUGCCCAGUGCCAGAAGGUUAAAGAAGCUGGUUAGCAAUAGCGAAGCUGGUGACUGAAGCCCUGGUGAACGGCGGCCGUAACAAUAACGGUCCUAAGGUAGCGAAAUUCCUUGUCGGGUAAGUUCCGACCCGCACGAAAGGCGUAAUGAUUUGGAUACUGUCUCGGAGAGGGACUCGGUGAAAUAGACUUGUCUGUGAAGAUGCGGACUACCUGCACCAGGACAAAAGACCCUAUGAAGCUUUACUGUAACCUGAAAUUGAAAUUGGACUUUAUUUGCGCAGUAUAGGUGGGAGGCGUUGAAAGUAAUCUUGCGGGAUUAGUGGAGCCAUCAGUGAGAUACCACUCCUAUAAUGUUAGAUUUCUAACUUUGGAUCAUGAUCUGGUCAAAAAACAGUUUCAGGCGGGCAGUUUGACUGGGGCGGUCGCCUCCCAAAUGGUAACGGAGGCGUACAAAGGUUUCCUCUGAACGGGUAGAAAUCGUAUCUAGAGUGUAAAGGCAUAAGGAAGCUUGACUGUGAGACCUACAAGUCGAGCAGGGACGAAAGUCGGUCUUAGUGAUCUGACGGUGCUGAGUGGAAAGGCCGUCACUCAACGGAUAAAAGUUACUCUAAGGAUAACAGGCUGAUCUCCCCCAAGAGUUCACAUCGACGGGGAGGUUUGGCACCUCGAUGUCGGCUCAUCGCAUCCUGGGGCGGUAGUACGUCCCAAGGGUUGGGCUGUUCGCCCAUGAAAGCGGUACGCGAGCUGGGUUCAGAACGUCGUGAGACAGUUCGGUCCAUAUCCGGUGUAGGCGUUAGAAUAUUGAGAGGAGCCUUCUCUAGUACGAGAGGACCGAGAAGGACAUACCUCUGGUGUACCAGUUAUCGUGCCAACGGUAAACGCUGGGUAGCUAUGUAUGAGAGGAUAACCGCUGAAAGCAUCUAAGUGGGAAGCCCACCUCAAGAUGAGUAUUCUC
RNAcentral lists this ribosomal RNA (1241 nucleotides) under metagenome. RNAcentral's name for it is "bacterial LSU rRNA". It matches the Rfam family "Bacterial large subunit ribosomal RNA", at positions 1564 to 2815 of the family's 2925-position model. The record is from RNAcentral.